CGGGUGCUUGAGGGAGCGCUUGUGGACGUGCCCCAUGGCACUGAGCAUCCCCGGGGGGGCUCGGGGCCGAGGGGGGGAUGCCCAUCCCCAGCACACGUGGGGCCCACCCUGCCGUGGCACGGCUGCUGCGCUGGGGGGGCUGCAGCCCUCCUGACGGUUCGCUUGGAUUAAUAAGCAAAUCCAUGGAUUUGUGGGGGUUUCCACUGAGCAGCGCCGUGGGGGGAUGCACGGGGAGGAGGCCGGCGGCCGCGGCGAGACCCGCGCCGCAGGGAGCUGCCGGGCGCCGCAGUGUUACCAAUCACGGCACGGGAACGCGGCUAUCGAUUGCGGUGCAAACACCACCGUGCUGGAGCGAGACAUCCCCUCCAGAGCCGCCUCCCGUGCCGCUGCCUCCUGCUGCCAUCCCAAACCCUGCCCACCCUCCCCAGGGCGGCGGGGAUGCUCCUGCCUUAUUGCAAAGCUCAGCCCGGAGCAUCCCGUGGGGAGGGCGANNNNNNNNNNNNNNNNNNNNUUUGAGUCCCCGCUACUCCCCCACACCCCCGGGAUGCUUUUGGGGUCCUGUGGGAGCAGUUCUGCCUCCCCAGGCAGCGACUCCAUCUUGGCCCACUCCUUCUGGGCUCACGACUGAAGAGCCAGGGUGGCAGCACCGUGGGGGUCCCCCGAGGUCCUCACUGCGCUCCCAAGGGCUUCCUCCACCCGGUGCCAUUUCCAUGCUCAUUCCCUGGCUUUCCCAGCUGGCUGAUGGGGGAAGGCUUUAUCCUGUGUAAAGGCUCUCCAGGAUUACAGGUCUAGAGCCAGAGAUGGGGAGCACGUUGGUGGUCGGUGCCAGUGACACCCAGGGCUGGUGGCGAGAGCUUUGGGCACCGGAAGGUCGGGGUGCCCCGCUGGCACAGGGUGCCUGUCACAGGGUGGGGCCGGGAGUAGGGCUUUGGGUGCCCCAGAGCUGACGGUGGGCACUCUCUCUCUCUCUCUCUCUCUCUUUUUCUUUUGUCGGUGCCGGCUGGNNNNNNNN
Molecule: long non-coding RNA, 1012 nt
Filed under: Serinus canaria (Common canary)
Lineage: Eukaryota; Metazoa; Chordata; Aves; Passeriformes; Fringillidae
Description: lncRNA (ENSSCAG00000016080.1)
Source: RNAcentral